CAGCCGUAAACUAUGCGCGUUAGGUGUAUCGGUGACCACGAGUUACCGAGGUGCCGAAGGGAAACCGUGAAACGUGCCGCCUGGGAAGUACGGUCGCAAGGCUGAAACUUAAAGGAAUUGGCGGGGGAGCACCACAACAGGUGGAGCUUGCGGUUUAAUUGGACUCAACGCCGGGAAGCUCACCGGAUAGGACAGCAGAAUGAUUGCCGGGCUGAAGACCCUGCAUGACUAGCUGAGAGGUGGUGCAUGGCGUCAGUGACU
Molecule: ribosomal RNA, 261 nt
Filed under: uncultured archaeon
Lineage: Archaea
Description: partial 16S ribosomal RNA
Rfam family: Archaeal small subunit ribosomal RNA
Source: RNAcentral